UUUUCUAUAUUUAUUGUUUAUAAAUAAUUUCUUAUCUAUAACCAGUGAUAAUGCUCGAAAACUUGAAUUUAGUUUUUUUCAUUGUUGCGUGCGCCGCGAUUGGUAUCGAUCGCAUAACCCUCGGAAAAGCUCGAUAUGACAUUGAUGAGAUGGAGUGGUCAUUAGAGAAAAAGAAAAACUGAUUAAGAAAUGGUCGAAAUAGCGCAAAAGCAUACACAAAAGUAUAUAACGAAAGAAGAAAAGAAGAAGAAAAUUAACGAGUUAGAAGAAUCAGAAGAAAGAUAAAAUAAAAUGAAAAACAAAUCUUUGGAAGCAUAAGAAUUAGGAGUAGAGUCGAGUUUUAAAAAAGAUUAUAUUGUAAGGAUAAACAGCAAAGGUAGAUUGAGCAACUGCGGAUAUCUAUGAGAAAGCCUCUACAAACCAACCAGUGCAUAAAGCUAAAAUUUACUAUCUGAGAAAGAUUUUUCAUAUCAAGAAAGACUAGAGGUGAUUGAAAUUCAAACGGUUCAUCAUUAAGGAACACAAUAAUUCUUAAUAUUCGCUGAAAGCCUCGAUAGACUUAUGCAAAGGUUGCUUUAUUGUUUGCUUGAUUUCGCACGAUAAAGAAAAUACAUUAAACAUGAAUUACGUGAAACUGAAAGAAAGAAUUCUCUCACCUGAGGAAGAACUUUCGUUCAGCUGCCAAAGCGUUUUUGAUGUCUUUACGACCUUCGAUGUCUCUCUGGCUUCUGUUAACUACGCCUAUGUAGCCCCUGCGUAGAGGAAGCAACUUAUUUUCUAAAAUGUCUCUAGCAUCGGUACCAUCAUCCAUAAGAUCAAGUUUGGUGAUGACGCCAAUGAUAUGGAGCGGAGAAAAAAAACGUGGCAGGAAAAAGUAUGAAAAUCACAAUUCAACUCGUCAGGACUCACCGUUGGGCGAAUAUACCCUCAAAUUUAUGGGCACGUUGGAUAUCCCUUUGUUGCUUCCGGUCACGCGAUCCGUCUCCGCUUCUAUUUCCUUCCUGACUUCGUCGAAAUCCACGAAUUUUUUGCCUUUGCAGUGUAGAAAUUCGGCGGAUUCUAGAGAAAAAAAAGACAUGAAAAAAAUCGAUGAAAUUGUGUAAAACAGUGUUGAUUCUUAGAAAAUUUUUAAUUCAUCCAAAGUUCAUAGACCCUUCUUCGGAAGAGUCGAAUCGUUAUCGAAGUUGAACGUUAUCGUUACGGCUCGGAGGAUGCAGGAUGCAAGAUAAAUUUUAAUAAGCGAUAAAUCAGCGAGUCGGGAAAAUUCUGUGUAUCGGUUCGUGUGCUGUAACAUUUCGACUGUAACGUUUCGAACGCCUUUUUCAACUUGCACAUUCAAUUCGAAUCUCUUGUACGUAGCUUGAACUUGGCUCCAUUUAAUUCGUAUCAAAUGAGCUAUAUCGAUAAGAUUAAAAAGGUAAAUUAAUACAAAUUGACAGCGAAGGACACGAGUUUAAUACGAGGGACGUGUAGGGUCCUCUCGGGAUCACAUUUCUUGACCGUAUAAUGAAAUACGUGUCGAGUGAGUUGGCGGUGAGACGCGACAAUUAUUGAUCAUCUAUGGAUCGACGUAUUCUUUCUAGCUGCUCUCAUAAACCUCUCUUCGAUAAGACUUUCGUGCAUUGAUAACUGAUAACUAUGCUUCUCACUAGUCACGCCGUUACUGGAAAUUCUUCAAUUUUUCGUGACUCACCACUGAUGCUGUUGAUUAGCUGUAGAAUGAGUGGUCUUCUGGUAACGAUGCCUGAACCUCGAGGCAAGAAGUCCCUGCGAACAAAUGAACAAUCGUAUUUUUAAUAAAUUCUUUUUUUUCAUAUUCUGCAAAUUAUAAAAUAAAAAUGAGGAGAUUUUCCUACAAGGAACAGGAUUUUUAAGUGAUUUAAUAAAAUCGAAGUUCGUUUUCUCUUCAAUAUUUUUAUGCCUUUUCAAUAAUCUUUUCUUUUAUAGACAGUGAUUCUCGUUGGAAUGUCAAUAAAGUGCGUCAUUUUUUUUUGCACGAAAUAAGCAAUUCCAGAUGCAUGAAUGAUGAGAAGGAAAAAUCAGUAAUUGAAAUAUAAACAACCUUUGAAUGAAAAUUCGAUUAAAAACUUAAAACAUUCGUCAUGAAAUCAAUUAAAUUUUCGUUAAAUGUUCAACAGAAUCAGCAAAUUGAUAGUUGAAACGAAUUUAAUUUUUCUUUUCCGCAAUAGCCAAGAAACACGAAAGUGUGAGGUUUUUUGAGCAUUGAGUUCUUCAUACACUCUUUCUACUCUUCUGUUAGAUACAGUCGAGGAGACACGAGCAAAGAUUCUUGUCAAGAAGAUUGAUCGAAUGAUUUAACAGGUGAUUAUAGAGCAAGCUCGUCUUUAAAGAUGGGAAAAGAAAAAAACUCUCUUGAAGCUUGUGAUGUCAUAACAAUGUAUAUUCUUGCAACGAAUAGGUGUCAGUGUUGUGAUGUCAUUGGUUGUCUCAAGUGCAUCACAACAUGCUAUAAUAUACCUCAACACGAGUCAUUUAUAGUUUGCACUCUGCGUUACUUUGAUUGAGAAUUUUAUUGGCUAUCCCGGCGUUUGAUAUAAAUGCUCUUGAAUGGCUAUGAAUAAAAUUUCAAUAAAUUUGACAAACCCAGAAAUAAAAUGCUUCGCUUCGUGUUAUUAUUUGUGCAAGGAUUUGACUAUUUUGUUACAGCAGCGCUGAAGAUGUUUCCUAUUCCAAAAUUAAAAUUUUGUCAGAACUCUGCCCUGCUAUGUUCAAAAACGUGAAGAUUCAUGUGACAUUGGAGUUUGUUCCGUUGAAAUACAGCAGAAUUCAAUCGUUUUAUUAA
This 2803-nucleotide long non-coding RNA is filed under the name Venturia canescens. RNAcentral's name for it is "uncharacterized LOC122411169". Lineage: Eukaryota; Metazoa; Arthropoda; Insecta; Hymenoptera; Ichneumonidae. The record is from RNAcentral.